UUACAUGAGGAAGGAUUUGACUGAUUGCAACCUCAAUGACCCGUAUGCGGUUAUGUAAAAAUGCUAAAGCAGUUCUA
Regulatory RNA element from Croceitalea dokdonensis DOKDO 023, 77 nucleotides. The record is from Rfam. Lineage: Bacteria; Pseudomonadati; Bacteroidota; Flavobacteriia; Flavobacteriales; Flavobacteriaceae.